ACAAAGUUGCGUGAGUGGUUGAAACGAGCGGUCUCCAAAACCGCUGAACAAAAGUUCCGCGUGGGUUCGAAUCCUACACUUUGUG
This 85-nucleotide transfer RNA is filed under the name Oligoflexia bacterium. Its description in RNAcentral is "tRNA-Trp". It matches the Rfam family "tRNA". Rfam says of the family: Transfer RNA (tRNA) molecules are approximately 80 nucleotides in length. Lineage: Bacteria; Pseudomonadati; Bdellovibrionota; Oligoflexia. The record is from RNAcentral.